CCUACGUGAGGCAGCAGUGAGGAAUCUUGGUCACUGGGCGCGAGCCUGACCCAGCCAAGUAGCGUGAAUGAUGACUGCCCUACGGGUUGUAAACUUCUUUUAUAAAGGAAUAAAGUGAGGCACGUGUGCCUUUUUGUCUGUACUUUAUGAAUACGGAUCGGCUAACUCCGUGCCAGCAGCCGCGGUAAUACGGAGGAUCCGAGCGUUAUCCGGAUUUAUUGGGUUUAAAGGGAGCGUAGAGGGGUUGUUAAGUCAGUUGUGAAAGUUUGCGGCUCAACCGUAAAAUUGCAAUUGAUACUGGCAGCCUUGAGUACAGUUGAGGUAGGCGGAAUUCGUGGUGUAGCGGUGAAAUGCUUAGAUAUCACGAAGAACUCCGAUUGCGAAGGCAGCCUACUAAACUGCCACUGACAUUGAUGCUCGAAAGUGUGGGUAUCAAACAGGAUUAGAUACCCGAGUAGUC
Molecule: ribosomal RNA, 460 nt
Filed under: uncultured bacterium
Lineage: Bacteria
Description: partial 16S ribosomal RNA
Rfam family: Bacterial small subunit ribosomal RNA
Source: RNAcentral